GAUGAACGCUGGCGGCGUGCCUAAUACAUGCAAGUCGAGCGAACAGACGAGGAGCUUGCUCCUCUCACGUUAGCGGCGGACGGGUGAGUAACACGUGGAUAACCUCCCUAUAAGACUGGGAUAACUUCGGGAAACCGGAGCUAAUCCCGGAUAAUAUAUUGAACCGCAUGGUUCAAUAGUGAAAGACGGUUUUGCUGUCACUUAUAGAUGGAUCCGCGCCGCAUUAGCUAGUUGGUAAGGUAACGGCUUACCAAGGCAACGAUGCGUAGCCGACCUGAGAGGGUGAUCGGCCACACUGGAACUGAGACACGGUCCAGACUCCUACGGGAGGCAGCAGUAGGGAAUCUUCCGCAAUGGGCGAAAGCCUGACGGAGCAACGCCGCGUGAGUGAUGAAGGUCUUCGGAUCGUAAAACUCUGUUAUUAGGGAAGAACAAAUGUGUAAGUAACUAUGCACGUCUUGACGGUACCUAAUCAGAAAGCCACGGCUAACUACGUG
Molecule: ribosomal RNA, 497 nt
Filed under: uncultured bacterium
Lineage: Bacteria
Description: partial 16S ribosomal RNA
Rfam family: Bacterial small subunit ribosomal RNA
Source: RNAcentral